UACGUAGGGUGCGAGCGUUGUCCGGAAUUAUUGGGCGUAAAGAGCUUGUAGGCGGUUUGUCGCGUCUGCCGUGAAAAUUCGAGGCUCAACCUCGAACUUGCGGUGGGUACGGGCAGACUAGAGUGUGGUAGGGGAGACUGGAAUUCCUGGUGUAGCGGUGAAAUGCGCAGAUAUCAGGAGGAACACCGAUGGCGAAGGCAGGUCUCUGGGCCACUACUGACGCUGAGAAGCGAAAGCAUGGGGAGCGAACAGGAU
This 255-nucleotide ribosomal RNA is filed under the name uncultured bacterium. RNAcentral's name for it is "partial 16S ribosomal RNA". It matches the Rfam family "Bacterial small subunit ribosomal RNA", at positions 524 to 778 of the family's 1533-position model. The record is from RNAcentral.